Molecule: long non-coding RNA, 1114 nt
Organism: Liolophura sinensis
Lineage: Eukaryota; Metazoa; Mollusca; Polyplacophora; Chitonida; Chitonidae
Exons: 4
Source: RefSeq, a predicted model, not a curated record
CAUAACGAUUCAGGAGCUAGCAACAACAACAUGUGCAAAAAUGUGCGCAACAUCUUUUGAAGACAAUUACAUUGCACAUUUUUGCAAACCGAAUCGAAAAGUACUAACUAACAGUUUAUCUAAGUCAAUUAUUUGUGAAUGAAGAUUCUGUUAACUGGGACAAGAAGAAGAGAGCUGCUCCGAAUGCAGAUUCUGUUAAUUGGGACAAGAAGAAGAGAGCUGCUCCGGUCGUUUUUUGACUCUGGAAGGACGAGCACUGCUAAAAAAUACUAUUGACAAGAUAGCACAACUCUAGCCCAGAAGGUUAUACCACUGACUCCAGAUAUUCACCUUAAAGUAGAAACUUGAUCACAGCAUUUCAACCUUACUCCUAAGACAUCGGCUUAUUACAAUGUGCGUAUUUAGUUCACCAACACCUUUCACGAUCCCAUUUAUACUGACACACAAAGUAGAUUUUUAUUAAUUUUAUAAAGUAUAAAUUAUAUUGCGUCACUUAUAUAAUUAUAAAUUAUAUAUUUCUGUUACACGGCAUCAAGGUCGUGAUAGGACCGAAUAAGUUAACAUAAUGCUGGAAUCUUCCAAUAAGUGGACACAUCAUUUGAAAAUUUUUUUGUUUAUAUUUUUCGGUGAUGGAUUAUUGACAUGCUAGGACACUGACGUUGGGUAAAACCAAAAACCCGUAUGACAAAGAUGGCACAAUAAUUGGCCAUGUUCGCGACCUCACCGGAUGUAGACUUGGAAGGUUGUCUCCAGUCAUGCGCAGUUUCUGCCCAUUCAAUUUAACAGAUCUGGAAGGGAAAACGAUGAUUUUGUUUGAAUAUAGCUCGAUGGCAACCGAUACAAAUUGAAUUUGUUUUAGUGGUUAUGGACAUAUUUCAUUUUACAAGCAGUGAAGUACGUGUAAGUGGAUAGCCUGAUCAUGAUGUUAGGGUGGCUAUCACAAUGUGUGUCAGCGUUCUGUGAGUUAUGACAAAACCACAUUUGUCUUCGUGAUAUCUUUCCAUCCGCUCCCACAAUAUUACCUCAAGAGAUAAUAUUUAGGCCCUUUACUACCUCAUACAUAUAUUUUGAAAGGACUUAUCUCAGUAAUUGCACGAAAGGAUCGACGCAGUUA